Molecule: long non-coding RNA, 183 nt
Organism: Hipposideros armiger (great roundleaf bat)
Lineage: Eukaryota; Metazoa; Chordata; Mammalia; Chiroptera; Hipposideridae
Exons: 2
Source: RefSeq, a predicted model, not a curated record
AGCGUUUCCAGGCGCGUGGGCGCGCGUGUUGUGAGCCCCUUUUUCGUUUGACAGGUUGACAAGGUGACAGGCAGGUUCAACGGCCAGUUUAAGACCUACGCCAUCUGCGGGGCCAUUCGCAGGAUGGGCGAGUCAGAUGACUCCAUUCUCCGACUGGCCAAGGCUGAUGGCAUCGUCUCCAAG